RNAcentral lists this ribosomal RNA (399 nucleotides) under Triticum aestivum (bread wheat). RNAcentral describes it as "partial small subunit ribosomal RNA". The record is from RNAcentral. Lineage: Eukaryota; Viridiplantae; Streptophyta; Magnoliopsida; Poales; Poaceae.
AUGGACCUGUGCACCGAUGACCUGUUCGCCGAGGACCUGUGCACCGGAGAGACCUAUUCGCCAUGGACUUGUCACGGGCUACGUCGUCGCGAGCUCCGGUUCGACCGCGUCAUCUCCACCGGAAACCAAAGCGCCAGACCUAUACACCGCAGUCGGAGCGCCAUAGACCUGUGCAUCAGAGAGACAUGCUCACAAUGGACUUGUCUCGGGCUACAUCGUAGCAAGCUCCGGUUCGACCACGUCGUCUCCACUGGAAACCAAAGCGCCCCACCGCGAUUGGGACGCCAUAGACUUGUGCACCGGGGAGACCUGUUCGCCAUGGACUUGACUUGGGCUACGUCGUUGCGACGGUUCUGCCACGCCGUCUCCUCCUGGAAGCCGGUGUCCCGUUCACCAUGA